Molecule: long non-coding RNA, 1110 nt
Filed under: Apteryx haastii (Great spotted kiwi)
Lineage: Eukaryota; Metazoa; Chordata; Aves; Apterygiformes; Apterygidae
Description: lncRNA (ENSAHAG00000004558.1)
Source: RNAcentral
AUGGGGUUUACUGCAAACUAUAACUUUAAUGCCUCCAAACCACUCGGUUAUUUUAGAAGGAUUAUUAAUAUCUGGGGCAUGCUUGCCAUCCACUGCGCACCAGCAGUUUGCCCCCGCCACCAUCUCUGGUGGCAGCGCUGGCUCUUGGUGCGAGCUGCCGGGCAGGGAUGCGGGAAAUCCCAGCCUUGCAGACAGGGAAGGCAACCGGGGAGGGGAGAGAUCCCCCCCGGUACCUGCCUAUGGGUGGAAAAAACUCCAGGAGAGCUCUGCAUCCUUCUGCUUGACCUUUUUUUUGUGUGUGUGAGGGGAGGUUUGCAUGGUCAAAAAUCUUUUCCAGGGGUUCAACUCUUUGCGUUAAAAAAUGCACUUUCUUAUCUCAAGUGCUUUCGUCCAAAGGCUUGGUUUUUUUUGCUUGAAAGUCAGGCACAGGAGGGCUGCUGGGAGCUGGGAGCCAGCACAGGCAGCCUGGGGUGCCAGGACACCUGGGCUCCCUCUGCGGAUGGCUUGGGUGGGUCAAGGAGCUGCUCUGUGCCUCAGUUUACCCAUUGGCUGCAAAAAAGCCCUGUCCACCCCCAGGGAUCCCCCAUCCAGGGAAGUGGGCUGCCGGCUGUUUGUGCUUCGCCAAUGCAAGAAACUUUUGCCUCCAUCUGCAGGCGCGGAAAGGCUCYGGCUCGCCCGUGCCACCAGUGUCCCCACACCUUUUUGCCCCUAGCGCAGGAAAAGAGGCGGCAGAUACCGGCUGUGCCGAGGGCUGGGCAGACCCAGGCGUGCGGCGGCCGUAAAUCAGUGCCAGCACUCGGCCGGCGAGUGGGGGGGCUGCAGAGGCAAACCGUCCGCCUGGGGUGGUCGGGGACCAGGGCAAGGGGAAUCGCUAAUGAAAUAAAUAGAGAAAAACACCAAAAAAGCCAGGUUUUAACUAUUGGCUGUGUAAGUUCAAAGGUGCGUUUGGGCCCGAGGGCUGGCAGAGGCACCUGUGGCUUGCACCACUCCUCCGGGGCAGCGGGAGCCAGCGGCCGUGUUUCCUGGCCCCAUCUCUCGCUGGAGCAAUGGCCCACAGCUGGGCAAAGAAGGGCUAAACUUAGUUGCCCCAAAAAAUUUACGUUCAUAUAA